UACGAAGGGUGCAAGCGUUACUCGGAAUUACUGGGCGUAAAGGGUGCGUAGGUGGUUGUUUAAGUCUGUUGUGAAAGCCCCGGGCUCAACCUGGGAAUGGCAAUGGAUACUGGACAGCUAGAGUGCGGUAGAGGGUAGUGGAAUUCCCGGUGUAGUGGUGGAAUGCGUAGAUAUCGGGAGGAACACCCGUGGCGAAAGCGGCUCUCUGGGACGGUACUGACGCUGAGACGCGAAAGCGUGGGGAGCAAACAGG
Molecule: ribosomal RNA, 253 nt
Filed under: uncultured bacterium
Lineage: Bacteria
Description: partial 16S ribosomal RNA
Rfam family: Bacterial small subunit ribosomal RNA
Source: RNAcentral